Acanthaster planci (crown-of-thorns starfish) is the source of this 2130-nucleotide long non-coding RNA. RefSeq lists it as uncharacterized. The record is from RefSeq and is a predicted model, not a curated record. NCBI's taxonomy places the organism in Eukaryota, Metazoa, Echinodermata, Asteroidea, Valvatida, Acanthasteridae.
AUAGGCAGACAAAGGAUUGAGGGCAGAAACGUGCACGUCAGCGUUGACUGGACGCCAUUAACCGUUCUGUUAGGCCUUUUUUUUUCAGUAAAACCGCUGUUAAAUAUGUGUUCUGGGAGAUGAGAAAACGUCUCUGGGCAUCCUCAAGAUUUCCAGAAGAAUCUUAUCCUCGUUUCAUCUUCUCUUGGUUGUGUUUGAACACCACGGGAGUUCCGAACCCCGAAAGAGCUGCAGAUUUUUUCACAAGCAUUUUCUCGAAAUCAGCAUUUGGCCAAGUCAUGAAGUCACCAAUUAAGGUGUGUGGAUGGACCUUCAACUUGAAGCCAAAAUACUGACAGAAAUGGAACAUGCCCUGUGAAGCCGUAAAAGAGAUGCCAUCUCCCCAGUGAUGUCUCAGUCUGGUGCAAACCCAACUACCUGUGGGGCUCUCCUUCAAGGCUGGACGGACUCAUCACAAGAAAUGUGGGCAAAUCCAUGGCAAUGUGGAGGUUAAAAAGUAAAACAAUUACAUGUAUUGUCAUGAAAAUAACUCGUAACAGCAACAGGCAAAAGUGUUUUCCAUCCUCUGUAGUUCGGAUGGAGGGCAAACUCCUAAUAGGAGGUUUCAAAUCUUUCUGUAGACAUUUGUCCAAUGCUUGAAAUUAUUAGACACACUGGCAUGAUUCAAAGUAAGUGAAACUCUACACUUGCCAUGGAUUUGCUAAGAUGAAUCUACGAUCAGAUUUAACUUCUGAAACUAGGCACGUCACCUUUAACUUGUAAAUUUUUAAUGUUCUGCUCAAUUCAAUCUAUUGGACAUUACAGAAAUUAAUAGACUGGAUUUUGAGUCAAGUUACAUCCCUUCGGGUCAAAUUUGAAUGCUUUGGAAUGAGAGGCACAGAGGACUUUAAAAAAACACGAUGUACAUGAAAGGGUUGCUGAAUAUGUGUACUUCUGUGGAAAUUUUUUAUACUCGAUUCAAGAAAUAUUUUAUGCCACAUGCAGGUUAUACAAGUUUAGAUUGACACCAUUCUCAACAUGAUUUAAAUCAUGUUACUUUGAGUAGUUGAUCGCUUUGGUUUUGGAGUAAAACUUCUCUGUGCAGCCAAUUUAGCUCAGUUCAUAUAGAGGCCCAUACUCUUCCAAUUUAUCCUUUGUCCAUUGUGAUUAGAUCAGUGAAAAGUAUUAAUUUAUUUCAUAUGUGUUUUUGAAAAAUAGACGUGCCUGGUUUCUAAGCUCCUUUUCGCCCAAAUCAAGCAAAUGUCUAAGUCUAAAUGUUUGGCAAGCAUUUUUUAAAUGACUAUGAUAUGCAGCUAUUUCAAACCACAGAUUAAUUUAAAAUGAGAGGAUUCAUGAUACGGGCGUACAGUUGAGUGGUAUUAUACUCUCUAAAUUCAAAAGUGUGAAAACUCAGUCUUUUCGAGUGAAAAUUCACUCCCACUGUCGGAAACUAGGGACCAGACGUUUAAGAUUGAAAUCUCUUCAAUCCAAAAGAUCGAGUUUUCACUCGAGCUCCGACUGUAGUGAUAUUUUUUCAGAUAAGUUCAAUUGAAAUUGGGAGUGAAUUCCACUCUAAAUCGUCGUGUCCCCAGUUUCACUCUUUCGGGUUUAGAGAGUAUUUUCACUGCUUAUUAACUGUUAGGAUAAGUAUUUAUCAGUCUGAACAUUUUGAAUUGAUCAAACUCCUCGAAAAAAAAAGCAUCUUUAGCUUCAAUACGACAGAAUUAAUUCCCCUUAUGAUGAGUCAAAACUUAAUUUAAAAGACAAUUCACAUUAUGUGCUGAUAUUAACUCUACUUCUGAUUGCUUGACCCAACUGAAUAAAAAGAUCAGCUUUGUUGUUUGUGGUGUUUUCAUUGAGAAGGGUAUCUGCUGCCUACGGAAACCCAUUUUCUGGUACAUUUCAUGGGCACUUUGCAAUGGAAAUGAAAACCAAAACAAACUGUAGUUUAAACUGCUCCUUAUUAAUACAUUUUCACCCAACGGGAACUGACAUUUAUAAGACUGAAACUUAAGUGUAUUGAUUGGUUGUGAUAGGCAGCAGAUACAGUGCGUCUUUCAAGGGUAAACAUUGGGCGAGUUGCAUUUAGAACAUGCAUAAAAAAGCUUGAAAAAUGAGUAAACAUUCAUGAGGGUGGUUUUAGCAAGUUGG